GGUCCUUUCAUAUAGUGGUUAGUAUGCUACCCUCUCACGGUGGAAACACGGGUUCGAGUCCCGUAAGGAUCACCA
Molecule: transfer RNA, 75 nt
Filed under: Rickettsiales bacterium
Lineage: Bacteria; Pseudomonadati; Pseudomonadota; Alphaproteobacteria; Rickettsiales
Description: tRNA-Glu
Rfam family: tRNA
About the family: Transfer RNA (tRNA) molecules are approximately 80 nucleotides in length. Their secondary structure includes four short double-helical elements and three loops (D, anti-codon, and T loops). Further hydrogen bonds mediate the characteristic L-shaped molecular structure. tRNAs have two regions of fundamental functional importance: the anti-codon, which is responsible for specific mRNA codon recognition, and the 3' end, to which the tRNAs corresponding amino acid is attached (by aminoacyl-tRNA synthetases). tRNAs cope with the degeneracy of the genetic code in two manners: having more than one tRNA (with a specific anti-codon) for a particular amino acid; and 'wobble' base-pairing, i.e. permitting non-standard base-pairing at the 3rd anti-codon position.
Source: RNAcentral